This 460-nucleotide ribosomal RNA is filed under the name uncultured bacterium. RNAcentral describes it as "partial 16S ribosomal RNA". It matches the Rfam family "Bacterial small subunit ribosomal RNA", at positions 338 to 795 of the family's 1533-position model. The record is from RNAcentral.
CCUACGGGAGGCAGCAGUGAGGAAUAUUGGUCAAUGGACGCAAGUCUGAACCAGCCAUGCCGCGUGCAGGAAGACGGCUCUAUGAGUUGUAAACUGCUUUUGUACGAGGGUAAACGCAGAUACGCGUAUCUGUCUGAAAGUAUCGUACGAAUAAGGAUCGGCUAACUCCGUGCCAGCAGCCGCGGUAAUACGGAGGAUUCAAGCGUUAUCCGGAUUUAUUGGGUUUAAAGGGUGCGUAGGCGGUCGGAUAAGUUAGAGGUGAAAUCCCGAGGCUCAACUUCGGAAUUGCCUCUGAUACUGUUCGGCUAGAGAGUAGUUGCGGUAGGCGGAAUGUAUGGUGUAGCGGUGAAAUGCUUAGAGAUCAUACAGAACACCGAUUGCGAAGGCAGCUUACCGGCGCGCAACUGACGCUCAUGCACGAAAGCGUGGGUAUCGAACAGGAUUAGAUACCCCUGUAGUC